AUUGAACGCUGGCGGCAUGCUUUACACAUGCAAGUCGAACGGUAGAGGGGGCAACCCCUUGAGAGUGGCGAACGGGUGAGUAAUGCAUCGGAACGUGCCCAGUAGUGGGGGAUAGCCCGGCGAAAGCCGGAUUAAUACCGCAUGAGACCUGAGGGUGAAAGCGGGGGACCAAGUAGCAAUAUUUGGCCUCGCGCUACUGGAGCGGCCGAUGUCAGAUUAGGUAGUUGGUGGGGUAAAGGCCUACCAAGCCGACGAUCUGUAGCUGGUCUGAGAGGACGAACAGCCACACUGGGACUGAGACACGGCCCAGACUCCUACGGGAGGCAGCAGUGGGGAAUUUUGGACAAUGGGCGAAAGCCUGAUCCAGCCAUGCCGCGUGCGGGAAGAAGGCCUUCGGGUUGUAAACCGCUUUUGUCAGGGAAGAAAUCCUUUGGGCUAAUACCCCGGGGGGAUGACGGUACCUGAAGAAUAAGCACCGGCUAACUCCGUGCCAGCAGCCGCGGUAA
Molecule: ribosomal RNA, 506 nt
Filed under: uncultured bacterium
Lineage: Bacteria
Description: partial 16S ribosomal RNA
Rfam family: Bacterial small subunit ribosomal RNA
Source: RNAcentral